RNAcentral lists this ribosomal RNA (450 nucleotides) under uncultured Glomeromycotina. Its description in RNAcentral is "SSU rRNA". It matches the Rfam family "Eukaryotic small subunit ribosomal RNA", at positions 569 to 1024 of the family's 1831-position model. Lineage: Eukaryota; Fungi; Glomeromycota. The record is from RNAcentral.
AGCAGCCGCGGUAAUUCCAGCUCCAAUAGCGUAUAUUAAAGUUGUUGCAGUUAAAAAGCUCGUAGUUGAAUUUCGGGAUUAGUACGUUGGUCGUGCCUUAGGUACGUACUGGUGUUACUGGUUCCUACCUUCUGACGAACCAUCAUGUCAUUAAUUUGGUGUGGCGGGGAAUCAGGACUGUUACUUUGAAAAAAUUAGAGUGUUUAAAGCAGGCUCGCGCUUGAAUACAUUAGCAUGGAAUAAUGAAAUAGGACGUUGACCCUAUUUUGUUGGUUUCUAGGAUUGACGUAAUGAUUAAUAGGGAUAGUUGGGGGCAUUAGUAUUCAAUUGUCAGAGGUGAAAUUCUUGGAUUUAUUGGAGACUAACUACUGCGAAAGCAUUUGCCAAGGAUGUUUUCAUUAAUCAAGAACGAAAGUUAGGGGAUCGAAGACGAUCAGAUACCGUCGUAGU